Molecule: ribosomal RNA, 233 nt
Filed under: uncultured bacterium
Lineage: Bacteria
Description: partial 16S ribosomal RNA
Rfam family: Bacterial small subunit ribosomal RNA
Source: RNAcentral
UACGUAGGGCGCAAGCGUUAUCCGGAAUUAUUGGGCGUAAAGAGCUCGUAGGCGGUCUGUCGCGUCUGCUGUGAAAACUCAGGGCUUAACCCUGAGCUUGCAGUGGGUACGGGCAGACUAGAGUGCGGUAGGGGAGACUGGAAUUCCUGGUGUAGCGGUGAAAUGCGCAGAUAUCAGGAGGAACACCGGUGGCGGAAGGCGGGUCUCUGGGCCGUAAACUGACGCUGGAGGAG